GGAGUUGUAGCUCAGUGGUAGAGUGCUUGCCUAGCACAUGCAAGGCACUGGGUUCAAUCCUCAGCAACAUUU
This 72-nucleotide transfer RNA is filed under the name Marmota monax (woodchuck). It matches the Rfam family "tRNA". From Rfam's summary of the family: Transfer RNA (tRNA) molecules are approximately 80 nucleotides in length. The record is from Rfam by way of RNAcentral. Lineage: Eukaryota; Metazoa; Chordata; Mammalia; Rodentia; Sciuridae.